AACGCGAAGAACCUUACCAGCUCUUGACAUACCGAUCGCGGAAAGUGGAGACAUUUUCCUUCAGUUAGGCUGGAUCGGAUACAGGUGCUGCAUGGCUGUCGUCAGCUCGUGUCGUGAGAUGUUGGGUUAAGUCCCGCAACGAGCGCAACCCUCGCCUUUAGUUGCCAGCAUUUAGUUGGGCACUCUAGAGGGACUGCCGGUGAUAAGCCGGAGGAAGGUGGGGAUGACGUCAAGUCCUCAUGGCCCUUAUGGGCUGGGCUACACACGUGCUACAAUGGCGGUGACAGAGGGCAGCCACUCCGCGAGGAGGAGCUAAUCCCUAAAAGCCGUCUCAGUUCGGAUUGUACUCUGCAACUCGAGUGCAUGAAGUGGAAUCGCUAGUAA
RNAcentral lists this ribosomal RNA (384 nucleotides) under uncultured bacterium. RNAcentral describes it as "bacterial SSU rRNA". It matches the Rfam family "Bacterial small subunit ribosomal RNA", at positions 958 to 1341 of the family's 1533-position model. The record is from RNAcentral.